RNAcentral lists this ribosomal RNA (1472 nucleotides) under Microbacterium trichothecenolyticum. Its description in RNAcentral is "16S ribosomal RNA". It matches the Rfam family "Bacterial small subunit ribosomal RNA". Lineage: Bacteria; Bacillati; Actinomycetota; Actinomycetes; Micrococcales; Microbacteriaceae. The record is from RNAcentral.
UGAACGCUGGCGGCGUGCUUAACACAUGCAAGUCGAACGGUGAAGCCAAGCUUGCUUGGUGGAUCAGUGGCGAACGGGUGAGUAACACGUGAGCAACCUGCCCUGGACUCUGGGAUAAGCGCUGGAAACGGCGUCUAAUACUGGAUAUGAGCUCUCAUCGCAUGGUGGGGGUUGGAAAGAUUUUUCGGUCUGGGAUGGGCUCGCGGCCUAUCAGCUUGUUGGUGAGGUAAUGGCUCACCAAGGCGUCGACGGGUAGCCGGCCUGAGAGGGUGACCGGCCACACUGGGACUGAGACACGGCCCAGACUCCUACGGGAGGCAGCAGUGGGGAAUAUUGCACAAUGGGCGGAAGCCUGAUGCAGCAACGCCGCGUGAGGGAUGACGGCCUUCGGGUUGUAAACCUCUUUUAGCAGGGAAGAAGCGAGAGUGACGGUACCUGCAGAAAAAGCGCCGGCUAACUACGUGCCAGCAGCCGCGGUAAUACGUAGGGCGCAAGCGUUAUCCGGAAUUAUUGGGCGUAAAGAGCUCGUAGGCGGUUUGUCGCGUCUGCUGUGAAAUCCCGAGGCUCAACCUCGGGCCUGCAGUGGGUACGGGCAGACUAGAGUGCGGUAGGGGAGAUUGGAAUUCCUGGUGUAGCGGUGGAAUGCGCAGAUAUCAGGAGGAACACCGAUGGCGAAGGCAGAUCUCUGGGCCGUAACUGACGCUGAGGAGCGAAAGGGUGGGGAGCAAACAGGCUUAGAUACCCUGGUAGUCCACCCCGUAAACGUUGGGAACUAGUUGUGGGGACCAUUCCACGGUUUCCGUGACGCAGCUAACGCAUUAAGUUCCCCGCCUGGGGAGUACGGCCGCAAGGCUAAAACUCAAAGGAAUUGACGGGGACCCGCACAAGCGGCGGAGCAUGCGGAUUAAUUCGAUGCAACGCGAAGAACCUUACCAAGGCUUGACAUACACCAGAACACCGUAGAAAUACGGGACUCUUUGGACACUGGUGAACAGGUGGUGCAUGGUUGUCGUCAGCUCGUGUCGUGAGAUGUUGGGUUAAGUCCCGCAACGAGCGCAACCCUCGUUCUAUGUUGCCAGCACGUAAUGGUGGGAACUCAUGGGAUACUGCCGGGGUCAACUCGGAGGAAGGUGGGGAUGACGUCAAAUCAUCAUGCCCCUUAUGUCUUGGGCUUCACGCAUGCUACAAUGGCCGGUACAAAGGGCUGCAAUACCGUGAGGUGGAGCGAAUCCCAAAAAGCCGGUCCCAGUUCGGAUUGAGGUCUGCAACUCGACCUCAUGAAGUCGGAGUCGCUAGUAAUCGCAGAUCAGCAACGCUGCGGUGAAUACGUUCCCGGGUCUUGUACACACCGCCCGUCAAGUCAUGAAAGUCGGUAACACCUGAAGCCGGUGGCCCAACCCUUGUGGAGGGAGCCGUCGAAGGUGGGAUCGGUAAUUAGGACUAAGUCGUAACAAGGUAGCCGUACCGGAAGG